ACAGCAGUAGCCGCGGGAAUACGAGGGGGGCAAGCGUUGUCCGGAAUUAUUGGGCGUAAAGGGUGCGUAGGCGGCUUGACAAGUCUUGUGUGAAAUCUAUGGGCUCAACCCAUAGUCUGCACGGGAAACUGUCGGGCUUGAGAAUGGGAGAGGUGAGUGGAAUUUCCGGUGUAGCGGUGAAAUGCGUAGAUAUCGGAAGGAACACCUGUGGCGAAAGCGGCUCACUGGACCAUUUCUGACGCUGAUGCACGAAAGCUAGGGGAGCAAACAGGAUUAGAUACCCCGGUAGUCCCUGUCUCUUAUAC
This 305-nucleotide ribosomal RNA is filed under the name uncultured bacterium. RNAcentral describes it as "partial 16S ribosomal RNA". It matches the Rfam family "Bacterial small subunit ribosomal RNA", at positions 508 to 807 of the family's 1533-position model. The record is from RNAcentral.